GGGCGUGUAGCUCAGCUGGUAGAGCAGCGGACUCUUAAUCCGUUGGUCGGGGGUUCGAAUCCUCCCACGCCCA
Molecule: transfer RNA, 73 nt
Filed under: Deltaproteobacteria bacterium
Lineage: Bacteria; Pseudomonadati; Myxococcota; Myxococcia
Also listed under: 1 other name
Description: tRNA-Lys
Rfam family: tRNA
About the family: Transfer RNA (tRNA) molecules are approximately 80 nucleotides in length. Their secondary structure includes four short double-helical elements and three loops (D, anti-codon, and T loops).
Source: RNAcentral